RNAcentral lists this transfer RNA (41 nucleotides) under Peristrophe hyssopifolia. RNAcentral's name for it is "partial tRNA-Phe". The record is from RNAcentral. Lineage: Eukaryota; Viridiplantae; Streptophyta; Magnoliopsida; Lamiales; Acanthaceae.
UGUGACACGAGGAUUUUCAGUCCUCUGCUCUACCAGCUGAG